Molecule: ribosomal RNA, 253 nt
Filed under: uncultured bacterium
Lineage: Bacteria
Description: partial 16S ribosomal RNA
Rfam family: Bacterial small subunit ribosomal RNA
Source: RNAcentral
UACGGAGGGAGCUAGCGUUGUUCGGAAUUACUGGGCGUAAAGCGCGCGUAGGCGGCUUUGUAAGUUAGAGGUGAAAGCCCGGAGCUCAACUCCGGAAUUGCCUUUAAGACUGCAUCGCUAGAAUCAUGGAGAGGUUAGUGGAAUUCCGAGUGUAGAGGUGAAAUUCGUAGAUAUUCGGAAGAACACCAGUGGCGAAGGCGACUAACUGGACAUGUAUUGACGCUGAGGUGCGAAAGCGUGGGGAGCGAACAGG